CACCCAUCCAUCCAUCCAUCCACCCAUCCAUCCAUCCAUCCACCCAUCCAUCCAUCCAUCCACCCAUCCAUCCAUCCAUCCACCCAUCCAUCCAUCCAUCCACCCAUCCACCCAUCCAUCCAUCCACCCAUCCAUCCACCCAUCCACCAGUCCAUCCAUCCACCCAUCCACCCACCCACCCAUCCAUCCAUCCAUCCACCCAUCCAUCCAUCCACCCAUCCAUCCACCCACCCAUCCACCCAUCCAUCCAUCCAUCCACCCAUCCAUCCAUCCACCCAUCCAUCCAUCCACCCAUCCACCAGUCCAUCCAUCCACCCAUCCAUCCACCCAUCCACCCUCUCUGGACACCAGCUCCACGUGGAGGUCAUCGUUCUCACGGCCUCAUGGGGCGGACAUCUGCCAUCUUGGGUGUGAGGAAACGCAGCCCAUGAGGGGUGUGGCUCUUCCGAUGUCCUUCCAGGACGUGGCUGGGGCUCCUUCCUCCAGGGAGGGACCCCUGGGGCCAGGCUGGUGGAGUGUCCAAUUUUGCAUGAAUGGAGCAAAGAAGCCACCAGAUCCCUGUGUCCCAUUGGUCACCCAUCAAGUGACACUCCCAAAACAGACCCCGUGUGUCCCCAGGCUUUCUGGGAGGUCAGGAGGCCCGGAUUGCAAACUGGAGGCCAGCCUCAGCUCCAUAGGGAGGCCCUAUGGAGCAACUUCGCGAGACCCUGACUC
RNAcentral lists this long non-coding RNA (714 nucleotides) under Marmota monax (woodchuck). Lineage: Eukaryota; Metazoa; Chordata; Mammalia; Rodentia; Sciuridae. The record is from RNAcentral.